RNAcentral lists this long non-coding RNA (8628 nucleotides) under Manihot esculenta (cassava). RNAcentral describes it as "long non-coding RNA (MESC_LNC010217)". Lineage: Eukaryota; Viridiplantae; Streptophyta; Magnoliopsida; Malpighiales; Euphorbiaceae. The record is from RNAcentral.
GUCCAUAAGAUACUUAAAAAUAUGAUACAAUCUCAGGCAGAAACAAAGCUAAAUGUAAAUAUUGACCUAAAAGGGAUUGACAUGCUAGCUUUGUGGCCAAAUUACGCACAUGCUAGCUUGACAUGCCUGCUUUACGCACGUGCUAGCUUAAUAGACUAAAACUUUUCAUACAUAUUCUUGAUGACAUAGUAAAAUGUUUAUGGCUGAAUAAUAUGCUCAUAAGUGAAUAUGUUCUAUUACACAUAUAUGAAUGCUUUUAAGGACUCUUUUAUUGAUGUGAUUACUUAUUUAGUACCAAUAAAUAUUUAACAUGAAACUAUGUAUUAUUGGCCCUAGUAAACCUCAGUGGGAGUCAUAGAUAGCAUAAGGGUAUGGCAUGCCAUAUACAGUUUAGCAGUACUGCGCCCUAAUGGGCUACAUGAUAUGAUAUUUUCGACACAUUACGUGUCAUACAGUUUUCCGGCUUUUUAGCCAUACAGGCAUAGCAUUCGGCUCCCAGGCCGUACAGUUUGGCACUUUGUGCUAUACAGAUACAGUUUUCCCUUAUCUAGCUAGUUGAUCCUACGAAGAGUUUAUAGGGGCUAAGAUUUAAUUAUAUGACUUGUUAAUGCUUUGCUAGCAUGCACACAAGAUGGUUACCAAAAUAUGAAUGAUCUUACUGCUAUAAAAUUUAAUGACCUGAUUUGUCCACUGACACAUAAAAUAUUUAUGUGCUUUUAUAUAACAUGAUUUCAUUAUAUAUGUCAUGAUUAUUCCUAGUAUACUUGAAUGAAUAUAUAUGUUGUUAUUCACCCACUGGGCAUAAGCUCAGCGCAUUGGAUUUUCCAUGCGCAGGUAAUAAAUAGAGGAAGCAACAGUUAGGAGGUCUGGUUCUGGAUCAGCACAGAGACAUCAUCAUAACCAGUUGUUCACAAGAUUUGUCCAGAGGUUCUUUAUGUUUGGCAUGUACAUUAAUAGUCUACCAAGAGUCUAUAAAUGAGUAUUGUAAAUAGUAUGAAUAUAACCAAAUGUGUUUACUAUUUUAAGUUAUUAUGUUCUAUUUGUGGUUUUAAUAGUGUGAAAUGAGUAAAUAUUGAAAUUUUAUGACUAGUUUUCACAGGGAUAAUUGCUAAUAAACAGGGGAGACUUUUGCGGUUUCUCCAUUUAAAAUUAUUUUGUGAAUCAACAUGCAUUUAAACGAACUAAAGAACAAUUUAUAAUGUCAAAGCUAUGUUAAGUCCACAUAUGUAAUUGCAUAUAGUAUAGUAUGUGUCAUCCUUUACUAAGUUAUUUUAUAGACGGGUAAGGGGUGUUACAUUUUUGGUAUCAGAGCAGAGGUUUAGGCAGUUCUAGGAUAUAGCAUAAUUUAAUGUACAUGCCAAGUGUGUCAAGGUUAUGAUGUGUCUCUGUAAAAUUGAUGCAGGCCUAUUUUGUGUUUUUAAUUGUUCAGAGAGGAUGUCUGAGGAAUCACAACGUGCUAUAGAUGAGGAGGUGGGAAGUCAUGCCCCCUCAGAACCCAUUGAGCCAGCAGUUGCACUAGCCCUUCAUGGUGAAGAUAGGCCAGGACAGGAUGCAUUUUUACAACAGUUGGCAGAUAUGUUUAGACGAGUUUCAGGGGCAGCACCUCAGGUGCCACCACCAGUUGCAGUACCUAUGCAGACUCCUGCUAGACCACCAAUAGACAAGCUUAGAAAAUAUGGAGCUAUGGAAUUCAAAGGCAGAAGAGAAGAUGAUGCUCCAGCAGUAGAGUACUGGCUGCAAAGUACAGAAAGAGUGUUGCAGCAGCUUCAGUGCACACCACCAGACAGUGUGGCUUGUGCAGUUGCUUUGUUACAAGAAGAGGCCUAUCAGUGGUGGGACACCACAUCACAGACAGUUCAAUCUGAGCAGCGGACUUGGGAAUUCUUUCUGGCUGAGUUUCAAAAGAAGUAUAUAGGAGAUUUAUAUAUGGAUGAGAAGAGAAGAGAGUUCCUAUAUUUGAGACAGGGCAGGAUGACUGUUAGCGAGUAUGAAAAAGAUUUCAUCAGACUGAGUAAGUAUGCCCGGGAAAUGGUGCCUACAGAGGAAGCUAAAUGUAAGAAAUUUGAGCAGGGUUUGCAUAAUGACAUUAGGGUGCUUUUGGCAGCCCAUUCCAUCAAAGAGUUCUCUACUCUGGUAAAUGCAGCGUUGAAUAUAGAGAAGAUAAAAGAAGAAGAACAGAGCUGGAGACAAAAAGGGCAACAGAAGAGAGGGCAAACCCAGAUGCAGGGGCAAUCCUCAGCCUCUCAAGCACCUAUAAAGAGACAAAGAGGUGCUUAGUCAUCAGGGCAGAGUCAAGUACAAAGACAAAGGCAGCCACUAGCGCAGAGUUUUGCGGGGAGGUUUGGGCAGCAAACUAGUACUUCUGUAGCCAGUUCAGGAAGUGCAGGCAGGGGACAAUACCCUAUAUGUGAGCACUGUGGUAGAAGGCAUUUGGGACCCUGCAGAAAAUUAACAGGGGCAUGCUUCAGGUGUGGAUCUACUGAGCAUCUUAUGAGAGACUGUCCUAGGGGACAGGUAUCUUCGGCACCACCAGUAGAGAGGCCUAUUCCUGCUGAAUUUAUAGGAAGAGGAAGGGGUAGAGGUAAUCAAACAGGGGCAGCUUCAGCCAGUCAGAGGGUGUCUGAAACAGUAGAUAAACCAGACUUCAGAACACCUGCUAGAGCAUAUGCCAUCAGGGCUAAAGAGGACAUAGACUCCCCAGAUGUGAUUGUUGGUACAUUCUCAAUCUUUGAUAAACCUGUGCAUGCAUUAAUAGACCCAGGAUCAACACAUUCAUACAUAUGUUUACCCAUUAUCAAUGAGGGGAAAUUACAAGCAGAUUCUCUAAACCAAGAUAUAAUAGUAACCAACCCCUUGGUCAUAGUGUGAUAGUGAGUAAAGUAUAUAGGGAUUGUCCUAUAUCCAUCCAUGGUCAGACUUUCCAUGGUGAUUUGAUAGAGUUACCCUUUAGAGAAUUUGAUGUAAUCCUUGGCAUGGACUGGUUAUCUAAGCAUCGGGUAAUAGUAGAUUGUAGAUCAAAAAGAAUUACAUUAAAAACACUUGCAAAUCAUGAUGUGGUAGUUGUAGGGGAGAGAGCAUAUUACCUGUCUAAUAUUAUAUCGGCCGCUACAGCUAGGAGAUUAAUCAGUAAGGGUUGUGAAGCCUACCUUGUUUGUGCACUUGAAACCAAAAAGGAGAAUCCAGGUGUGCAUGAUAUAUUCACAGUGUGUGAUUUCUCUGAUGUUUUUCCUGAUGAUCUUCCUGGGUUACCACUAGAGAGAGAGGUGGAAUUUGCCAUAGAUGUUAUACCAGGCACCGCACCUAUCUCUAUUGCUCCUUAUAGGAUGGCACCUACUGAACUAAAAGAGUUAAAAAUACAAUUACAAGAAUUGCUUGACAAGGGUUUCAUACGACCUAGUAUCUCACCUUGGGGCGCACCUGUAUUGUUUGUAAAAAAGAAGGAUGGGACACUAAGAUUGUGUAUAGAUUACAGGCAAUUAAAUAAGGUGACAAUUAAAAAUAAAUACCCUUUGCCCCGAAUAGAUGACUUGUUUGAUCAGCUAAAAGGAGCCAGUGUCUUUUCAAAAAUUGAUUUGAGAUCGGGUUAUCAUCAGUUGAAGAUAAAAGAAACAGAUGUCUCUAAAACUGCUUUUAGAACCCGAUAUGGACACUAUGAAUUUCUUGUUAUGCCUUUUGGGUUAACUAAUGCUCCUGCUGCUUUCAUGGAUUUAAUGAACCGCAUAUUUCAUCCCUACCUGGAUCAGUUUGUUGUAGUGUUCAUAGAUGACAUCUUGAUAUACUCAAAGACUAAGGAAGAACAUGAUCAACAUUUGAGGAUAGUAUUACAGACUCUGAAAGAGAAACAACUUUAUGCCAAGCUUAGUAAAUGUGAGUUUUGGCUAAAUGAUAUGUCCUUUCUUGGGCAUGUUGUGUCAGCUGAAGGAAUCAGAGUAGAUCCUAAAAAGAUAGAAGCUAUUUUGAAUGGAAACCACCUAAGAAUGUAGCAGAGAUUAGGAGUUUUCUGGGUUUGGCUGGAUACUAUAGGCGGUUUGUAAAGGGAUUUUCAAUCAUUGCUGCCCCAUUGACUAAAUUGUUGCACAAGAAUGUUAAAUAUGACUGGGAUGACAAAUGCCAGGAGAGUUUUGAAAAGCUUAAAAAGAUGCUUACAGAGGCACCUGUCCUUACACAGCCAGAGUCGGGUAAAGAUUUUGUGAUCUACAGUGAUGCCUCACAUAAUGGACUGGGUUGUGUACUCAUGCAGGAGGGGAAGGUAGUUGCUUAUGCUUCAAGACAAUUAAAGCCACAUGAGAAGAACUACCCUACUCAUGAUUUAAAGUUAGCAGCCAUAGUCUUUGCAUUAAAGAUAUGGAGGCAUUACUUGUAUGGAGAAAAAUGUUAUAUCUAUACAGAUCAUAAAAGUUUAAAGUAUUUGCCCACACAAAAGGAGCUUAACCUGAGACAGAGAAGAUGGUUAGAGUUGCUUAAGGAUUAUGACUGCAUUAUUGACUAUCAUUCAGGUAAAGCCAAUCUGGUACAGAUGCACUUAGCAGGAAAUCCUUUGCUGCUUUAAGAGCUUUGAAUGCCCGUCUAUCUUUAGCUAAUAAUGGGGCUAUCAUAGCAGAACUAAAGCUUAGACCCAAUCUACUUCAACAAGUCCAGGAAGCACAGAAAGGGGAUAUUGAAACAGCUUUGUGGAUAAGGCAAGUCCAAGAGGGAAAAAAACAGAAACAUGUGGUUCAGGAUGAUGGCUAUUUGUAUUAUGAAGGCAGAAUAUGUGUACCUAAUGUUGAUGACCUGAGGAAGAACAUUCUGGAGGAAGCACACAGUAGUUCAUAUGCUAUGCAUCCUGGUAGCACUAAAAUGUAUCAAGAUUUGAAACUGCAUUAUUGGUGGCCAGGUAUGAAGAAAGAUAUAGUUGAAUUUGUGGCUACAUGUUUGACUUGUCAGCAGGUGAAAGCUGAGCAUCAAGUUCCAUCUGGUCUUUUACACCCUAUUUCCAUACCAGAAUGGAAGUGGGAUAGGAUCACUAUGGAUUUUGUUGUGGUAUUGCCAAUGACACCAAGGAAAAAAGAUGCCAUAUGGGUGAUUGUAGAUAGAUUGACUAAGUCAUCUCAUUUCUUGCCAGUGAGAACUGAUUACUCAUUGGAGAAAUAUGCAGAAUUAUAUAUCACUAAAAUAGUUCGAUUACAUGGAGUACCUGUUUCCAUUAUUUCAGAUAGGGACCCGAGGUUCACAUCCAGAUUUUGGGAGAAAUUGCAUGAAGCACUGGGUACUAAGUUGAAUUUUAGUACAGCUUUUCAUCCUCAAACAGAUGGGCAAUCUGAAAGGGUAAUUCAAACACUGGAAGAUAUGCUUAGAAGUUGUGUUAUUGAAUUCGAAGGGAGGUGGGAGAGAUACCUUCCAUUGGUUGAAUUUGCAUACAACAACAGUUAUCAAGCAAGUAUCAAAAUGGCACCUUAUGAAGCAUUAUAUGGAAGGAAAUGUAGAACUCCAUUGUGCUGGACAGAACUCAGAGAAGCUAAAGUGAUAGGUCCAGACUUGGUGAGGGAAACAGAAGAGAAAGUGAGAACUAUCAAGGAAAGGUUGAAAGCAGCUUCAGAUAGACAGAAGUCUUAUGCAGAUUUGAAGAGAAAAGAUAUAGCAUAUGAAGUUGGAAAUAAAGUGUUUCUUAAAGUCUCUCCAUGGAAAAGGGUGCUCAGAUUUGGCAAAAAGGGAAAGUUAAGUCCUAGGUUUGUAGGUCCAUAUGAGAUAAUUGAACGUGUGGGUCCGAUAGCCUACAGGUCAGCAUUACCCCCUGGAUUAGAUAAGAUACAUAAUGUCUUCCAUGUAUCCAUGCUGAGAUGAUACAGAUCUGAUCCUUCUCAUGUCAUUUCUUCUGAGACAAUUGAUAUUCAACCUGAUUUGACUUAUAAGGAGGAACCAGUGAAGAUUUUAGCACGAGAAAUAAAGGAGCUGAGGAAUCAGAAUAUUCCAUUAGUGAAGAUUCUUUGGAGAAACCACAAAACAGAGGAAGCUACAUGGGAAAGUGAGGAAUUAAUGAGGCAACAACACCCCCAACUAUUCAUGAUAGGUAAAUUUCGAGGACGAAAUUCUUUUUAAAAGGGGGGGAGAAUUGUCACAUUCCAAAACCUGCAGAUAGAAAUAAAGCAACCAUUAGCUUUCAAUUGUACCAUUCCGAAGUUAGAAUAACUAGCUUCAGGGGAGGUGCUAGCUUAACCUCGAGCUAAUUAGGGGAGGUGCAAGCUUAUCCAUAGCCGUCUGACACACAAUUCGUUUAAAGAUAGAGCACUAAAAGUUGUGUUUAGAGGUCUAACUUGCAUUUCAUAUAGAGUUAUACGUCCAAAGGUAGAGUUAAAAUAAGAACGACCAGUAAUAGUAUUUUAACAUCUUCAAACUGUAAUAACUGAAUCAUAGAAAACCCAAAUAAGAAAACAGACAUAUCUUAAAAUAAAGUAUCUAACGUGAUAAGCAGGUCAGAAUCAAGUUGCUAUCGGGAGGUGCUUAAGGGUUUCCCGACAUGCUAGCUUGAGGUGCUUCCUAAAACCGACGUGCUUGCUUAAAUGAAAUGAACUUCUAAAUAUUAGAAAUUUAAGUUUAGUAGGUCAAUCUAUGAAUAUUGAAAGUUUAAAAACUAAAUUGAAAUAUGUGGAAAAGUUUAGUAGGUGAAAGUGUGAAUAUGGAAAGUUUAAAAGUAAAAUUCCAAGUUUGCCCUCCACCUUUUUCUAUAUUUACACCUAACCCACCAUAUGACACCUAGCCAUACAUGACUAAGUAUGAAAGAAAUGGGUUGUCUUCAUUUGCUUCAUCCUUGCCGUACCUACACCAAAAGGAAAGAGAAAAAGCUUUUGCUUUCUUAUCUUCCAUUUCCACCAUAUUUCACCAAAAAGAUAAAAUCUCCAGCCACUCAAAAUCUGUUCUUGAGUGUAAUAACCAGCAAGGAAACCAUAGAAAGGGAGAAAAUAAGGAGAGAAGUUAAGGUGCUUAAGUGGUAAGUGAUGAAAUUGAAAACUAGGUUAGGUAAACAUAUUCUUUCAUGUUUCAAUUAAUUAUAUGUUGUUAAAUGAAUUAAAGCUCCUGUUUUUCUUAUUCUUUGUAAAGAACAAACUCAAAGGGAGGAAGGUACAUCAAAGGGGAAAGGCAAGGAAAAAGAGUAACUAAGGUGUACCUAAAGAUUUUGAAAAGAAUUUACAAAAGGUUUGGUGUUUGUAUGACUUUCUGUUUUCCUUUGAUUCUGUCAUGAAUAAGUGAAAUUAGGGGUUGAUUUUACUUGCUGGAAAUGUUGCUUUGAUUGUAUGGAUAUGUAAUAUGAAUGUUGAAAUGAUGAUUGGAAGGUUUAAAGCACAUAGAUACAACAUGGGAACCAAAAACAUAAAACUGGCAGAAUAGAUUCCAACAGGACAGUCUGUGUUAGAAGUCUCAUAACUUAUUGUGUGAUCAUUGAAAUUAAACCUAAAAUAUACCAAAUGAAAGCUAAGACACAAAUAUAAAACUUUCAUGAAGUGACAAAAUUCUGAAUCUGUAGCUAAUUAUGUGAAAAUUGCUAGUGAACCUAAGCCGGUCACAGGAAAUUGUGCAUCCGGAGCAGUAUGUAUCUCCUAGACCAUAACUAAUGAUUUACUCAAUGAAAUGAAUUAAGACCAGUGCCAAAUGAACCCUGAAAAGUAUACCUAAAACUUGGUACAAGAAUGUUAAGCUUGAAUCUGUAUGAAAAUGUAUGCAUAUGAUAGGUUUUGUUAGAUUAAAAACAGAUACCAAAACUGUACUGGUUAGGACCUGAUUGAGGAGGUUGCAAAGAAAAAUUCAUAACUUAAGUUAGGAAGGUCAGAAUUAGAUGUAAUAUAUCUUGUUAGAAAGCUAAGACAUAAAUACACAACAUUAAUGAAGAAAAGUAAUUCUAAUUAUGUCCAUAAGAUACUUAAAAAUGUGAUACAAUCUCAGGCAGAAACAAAGCUAAAUGUAAAUAUUGACCUAAAAGGGAUUGACAUGCUAGCUUUGUGGCCAAAUUACUCACAUGCUAGCUUGACAUGCCUGCUUUACGCACGUGCUAGCUUAAUAGACUAAAACUUUUCAUACAUAUUCUUGAUGACAUAGUAAAAUGUUUAUGGCUGAAUAAUAUGCUCAUAAGUGAAUAUGUUCUAUUACACAUAUAUGAAUGCUUUUAAGGACUCUUUUAUUGAUGUGAUUGCUUAUUUAGUACCAAUAAAUAUUUAACAUGAAACUAUGCAUUCUUGGCCCUAGUAAACCUCAGUGGGAGUCAUAGAUAGCAUAAGGGUAUGGCAUGCCAUAUACAGUUUAGUAGUACUGCGCCCUAAUGGGCUACAUGAUAUGAUAUUUUCGACACAUUACGUGUCAUACAGUUUUCCGGCUUUUUAGCCAUACAGACACAGCAUUCGGCCCCCAGGCCAUACAGUUUGGCACUUUGUGCUAUACAGAUACAUUUUUCCCUUAUCUAGCUAGUUGAUCCUACGAAGAGUUUAUAGGGGCUAAGAUUUAAUUAUAUGACUUGUUAAUGCUUUGCUAGCAUGCACACAAGAUGGUUACCAAAAUAUGAAUGAUCUUACUGCUAUAAAAUUUAAUGACCUGAUUUGUCCACUGACACAUAAAAUAUUUAUGUGCUUUUAUAUAACAUGAUUUCAUUAUAUAUGUCAU